Molecule: unclassified non-coding RNA, 336 nt
Filed under: soil metagenome
Description: partial contains 5.8S ribosomal RNA, internal transcribed spacer 2, and large subunit ribosomal RNA
Rfam family: 5.8S ribosomal RNA (bases 1-120)
Source: RNAcentral
GAUGAAGAACGCAGCGAAAUGCGAUAAGUAAUGUGAAUUGCAGAAUUCAGUGAAUCAUCGAAUCUUUGAACGCACAUUGCGCCCCCCAGUAUUCUGGCGGGCAUGCCUGUUCGAGCGUCAUUUCAACCAUCAAGCCCCAGGCUUGUGUUGGGGACCUGCGGCUGCCGCAGGCCCUGAAAACCAGUGGCGGGCUCGCUGUCACACCGGGCGUAGUAGAUUUUAUCUCGCUCAGGGCGUGCUGCGGGUUCCGGCCGUUAAAAAGCCUUUUUUACCCAAGGUUGACCUCGGAUCAGGUAGGAAGACCCGCUGAACUUAAGCAUAUCAAUAAGCGGAGGA